AAUGAAGUAAGUUUUAGUAUCUGCGACGCUUGUUAGGUCCUUCAAAGUUGCCCCCUGGGUUUCCUCUACCAAAGCCACCAGGUCCACCACUCACGGUACCUACGCCACUCAUUGGCGGCUGAGGAGUUUCGGAGCCCGUUCUACUAACCAGAGGUGAGCCCAUCUGUGAUGGACCUCCUUGAGGGAAUCUCUCAUUAUGCACUGUUCCAUUAUCUGGCAUCAUUGGUGUUCCCAUAUUUGCAGCUCCUUCUGGUCCCAUGGAAGGACCAGGACCCAUUGCAGGGCCAGGCAAAGUUCCUCUGUUGUUCAUAUUCAUACCCAUCAUUGGAGGAGGGCCUUGGUUACCAGCAGGUGCUGGGCUAAACGCAUCUCCCAUGUUAAUUGCUCCACGAGGACCCAUAUCACCCAUUCUCAUUUCCUGUUCUCUAUUGUCCAUGAAAUUUGGCUUAAAUCCUCCCUCCUGCUGCCGUCUCAAUUCCUCCUGUUCCCUCUGGCGUAGCAUCUCCUCUUCACGGCGUCUAUGCUCUUCUUCAUGUCUCAACUGUAUCUGCUUGCGUUUCUGAAGUUCUUGAUUCCGAAGUUCUUCCAAACGUCUCAAUUCUUCCUGACGUCGCAUGAGAUCUUGCCUCAUCAACAUUAGCUGAUGCUCAUGUCUAGCUGCUUCCAUUUCUGCCUCUAGUUUCUCUUUGGCUUCUCUAAUGUUCCUGUCAACCUGUUCACGCUGUUGCUUUUCCAUCUCAUCAAGAGCCUUCCAACGUGAAGCAUACUCAAACUCAAAUGUUCCAGGUUGAGCAAAACGUGGAGGCUGUUCUCUUUCCUUGUGAUACUGUUGUGUUUUUUGCAUUAGCUUCUCUGGGAGCCCAUCUUCAUCAUCAAAUUGCUCCAUUGGCUCUACAACAACAGGUCGAGGUGUUGUUGUUAGCAAGAAUGCACCAUCACUGCAUCUUUCUAGAGCUUUCCGUGCUGGAGGUUUUGCUGCAAACUCUACGAACCCUUUUCCCGUAGCUCUGCCACGAUCAUCUACCACAACUACAGCUCUUUCCACCGGUCCAAACUGAGAGAAUGCUUGUUCCAGCAGCUCGUUCGAAACCACAGGUGAAAGAUUCUUGACCGUUAGGGCAGCUCCAUGAGUAGCGAAUCGAAUUCGAAGUGGUCUGCUCUUCAAAAUAGUACCAUCAAGUUCUGCUUUUGCUAUUUCGGCCAGUGUCCUAGAUUCCAGGCGGAUGAAGCCGAAGCCGCGGUCCCGGUUGAUGAAGACCUCGCUGGGCUCCCCGUAGCGCUCGAAGAGGCGCUUGAAAUCUUCCUCGGUGAUGUCGGUGGGCAGAUUGCCCACGAACAGGCGGCAGCGCUGAGUGUAGCUCUUCUCGCCGGGUUUGAGAAAGCUUUUGAUGUCGAUGGUGAACCCACCCUCCUGCUCCUCAUCCCCACCCUCCUUGCCCGGCACCAACGCCAUGGCCGCCGCCUCGUUCUCCGUCUCUAGGCCCCGCAGCCCCUUCAGGCCGCCGCCGCCGCCCACCAUCCCCAGCGGCGCCGCCGGGGAGCUGUUCUCGAUCCGCACUUGCUUCAAGUUCCGAUUCGCCGCCAUGUUCGGCCCUCGCUCCCUUCUCCCUGGUUUUCUCGGGGGACGCGGAGCCGCGCUCGGCAGCCACCGCCUCCGACCCGCAGCCAAUUCAAAAUGGCGCCGCGGCCGCCCUCGGCGAGUUGUAACGUCCCCGCGGACGGCCCCGCCCACCGGCGGCCGCGCUCCCUCGCCGGCCGCCGCGCCUGCGCACUGCGCUCCCCGCGGCUCUUCGCAAGGAACGGGGAGCGGGCUGCGCACGCGUCGUACCGCGGGAGAACGGUCUUCGCAUCUUCAGAGCCCUGGGGCUCAGCCCAGCCAGGAGCUUCCCCGCCGCUUUCAGCCAGCGCGGCUCCCUCGGCCCUUACCCACCCGCCGCGAAUCCGACCGUGCUCGGCGGAGCGCCGGUCUGAGGCGCGUUCCGAUCGCGCGCGCUCCGCUGCGGUCCGUACCGAGGCGGGGGAACGCCCUGCCGGGGUCUGCGCCGAAUGGGGGGCGGCGGCCUGGCGGGACCCGCGCUCGGCGCUGAGGAGACUGCAGGGAACGGCGCAGGGAGAGGAAGAGCCGAGCGCUGUGGAGCGGCUCUGGAGACAGAGGGAGGGCCUGCGGGCUGCAGGAACGCGCCCACUGUUGGGUGCGGGAGGCACGGCUGCGGGGGCAGGCCUUGCUGCGCGGGAUGCCGGCCCAGCGCUGUCCUGCGCGGCAGCUGCCGCGGUGUGAGGGGGCGGCUUUCUUUCAGACAAAGCGCUGUGCUCUGCCUGGGGCCUCGGAGGCAUCUGGUAAAAGAAGUUGUUCUUGCUUCCAAUUCCCAUUGUAGCCUGAGCGAGACCUCGGGAGAAAAAAGCUAUUUUUUAUUUACACAGCUAUAGCAAUUAAAACAAAAAAAAACCUCUAGAGAAUAUUCUGUGGUUAGUAUUUACUUUGCUAAUCUAUGACGUGGGCUGUUCUUUUUCAAAGCAACAAUAAGCAUGAUAUUGAAGAAGUUAGCUCCACAACAGGCAUGAACUUUUUGCUGAGCAAUUUCAUAGGAUCAGAAUAUCCUGUGUUGGAAGGGACCUGUAACGAUCAUCGAGUCCAACUCCUGGCUCCACGCAGCACCAGCCAAGAAUCAGACCAUAUGUCUGAGGGCAUUGUCCAGAGGGAGGUGGCAUUGUUCAGUCUGGAGAAGAGGAAGCUUAGGGGAGACCUUAUCACUCUCUGUAAUUACCAGAAGGGAGGUUGUAGUGAACUGGGGGUCGGCCUCUUAUCUUGUGUGAUAGGACCAGAGGGAAUGGCCUCGAGUUGCACCAGGGGAGACUCAGGCUGGACAUUAGGAAAUACUUCUUUUCCGAAAGAGUGUCAGGCACUGGAAUGGGCUGCCCAGGGAGGUGAUGGAGUCACCAACCCUGGAGGUGUUCAAGGAACAUUUAGAUGUUAUGUUGAGGGAUGUGAUUUAGUGAGAGCUAUUGGUGCUGGGUGGAUGGUUGGACUGGAUGAUCUUGUAGGUCUUUUCCAACCUUGGCAAUUCUAUGAUCCUAUGAGCUCCAGCAGCUUGGGGCCAUGCCCUCUGUGCUGAGGAGCUUCUUCCAGAGCCUAGCUACCCUCUGGUGAAGAACCUUUUCCUGAUAUCCAGCCUGAGCCUUUGUUGUCACAACCUCAUGCCAUUUCUGUGGGUUCUAUUGCUGGCCACAAGAGAGAGAUCGGUGCCUGUCCCUCUACUCUCUAUUGUGAGGAAGCCGUAGGCUGAAGUGAAGACUCCCUUAAGUAUUCUCUAGGCUAAACAAACCAAGAGGCUUCAGCUGCUCUGCUCUAGACCCUUCACCAUCUUUGUGGCCCUCCUUUGGUACUCAUAGUACUUUUAUGUCCUUUUUAUACUGUGGCGCUCAAAACUGCACACGGAACUUGAAGUGAGGCUGCACUGGUGCAAUGUAGACCAGGACAAUCGUUUCCCUCAACCAGCUGGCAAUGGUGUGCUUGAUGCACCCUGCGGCACUGUCAGCCUUUCCAGCUACCAGAUCACGCUGCUGAUUCAUGUUCAAAUUGUUGUUGACCAGUAUCCUCAAGUCCUUUUCAUCAGGGCUGCUCUCCAGCAUUUCAUUCACCAGUCUAUAUGCAUAAUCAGGGUUGCCCCUUCCUAGGUGCAGAAUGGAGCACUUGCUAUUGUUAAACUUCAUAUGGCUGAAGAUUGCCCUUUUAUUUGUCUCUUUUAUUUGUCUAGCUCUCUCUGCUACCUCUACACCUUUAGUGGAAUCGACAUUUUAGUAUCAUCAGAAAACUUGCUCAAAAUACCUGCUAGUCCUACAUCCAAGUCAAUUAUGAAAACAUUAAAGAAAACUGGCCCUAAAAUUGAGCCCUGGGAAACCCUCUAGUGACUGGCCAUCAGCCUGAUGUUUACGACACAGCCCCAUUUACUAUAACACUUUGAGCCUGAUCAUAGAAUCAUAUAAUAGAAUCAUAGAAUGGCCUGGGUUGAAAAGGACCAUAAUAAUCAUGGAGUUUCAACCCCCCUACUAUGUGCAGGGUUGCCAGUCACUAGAUCACUGAUCACUGAUCUGUCAGCCAAUUGCUCACCCAUCACAUUAUGUUUUUAUCUAGCCAUGUGUUAGACAUUUUGUCCAAAAGCAUACUGUGCAAAUCAGUUUCAUAAGCUUUACUGAAACCCAAAAAAAUAACCCUUGGUCAACAUGGAUAUAUGACCUUAUCAUAAAAGAUAAUUAAGACCUUGUCAUAAAAGAUAAUUAAGUAGCUAAACAGGACCUUCCCCUCAUGAAUCCUCAUUGGCUGUGAUCAGUGGCUGCAUUGACUUUCAGAUGUUUUUCAGUAACUCUCAGCAUAAUUUUCUCCAUCAUUUUACCAUGCACUGAAGUGAGACUGACAGGUUUAUAAUUAGCAGGGUCUAUUUUCCUUGCCUUUCUUGAAAAUCUGAACAUUUUCCAGCUUCCAGUCAACUGGCACCUCUCCAGAUUCCCAAGACUGUUGAAAAAUAAUUGAGAGAGGUUUCAUGGUGACAUUGGCCAGCUCUCUGAGUACCCUGGGACAGAUCUCAUCAGGGCCCCUGGACCUAUAUGCGUUCAUUUCCACAUUUUAUGGUAAUACUGUAAAUUCUUCUAUUUUUCCAUUUGAGGUACAAGGAAGAUCUCAUUCCUUUCAUGGAGCUUCCAAGCGUGUCUUAAGAAUAAAGAAAAAAAUGUGAGUUCUCAGGCAGCGGGAAUCACUUCCUCAGCCUACCUGUUUCUGAAGCAGACUCCUGGGUCUAGUGCUUUGAAAUAAAUACAGAUUUAAAGCACUGAAAAUCAGAAAAUAGUGACUGGAGAAGCAUGUCCACUGACAGCAAAGGCA
RNAcentral lists this long non-coding RNA (4876 nucleotides) under Gallus gallus (chicken). Lineage: Eukaryota; Metazoa; Chordata; Aves; Galliformes; Phasianidae. The record is from RNAcentral.